GUUAUACUCCCUUCAUCCGGAAAUACCUGUCAUGGUAACGGAUGUAUCUAGAUGUAUUUUAGUUUUAGAUACAUCCAUUUUUAUACAUUUGUGUGACAAGUAAUUCCGUACGGAGGGAGUAUAUC
Hordeum vulgare subsp. vulgare (domesticated barley) is the source of this 125-nucleotide non-coding RNA. Lineage: Eukaryota; Viridiplantae; Streptophyta; Magnoliopsida; Poales; Poaceae. The record is from Rfam.